CGGCGAACGGGUGAGUAACACGUGGAUGAUCUGCCCUGAGGUGGGGGAUAACCCGGGGAAACUCGGGCUAAUACCGCAUAGGACCGUGAGGUCAAAGGGGGUCGCAAGAUCUCUCGCCAUGGGAGGAGUCCGCGUCCGAUUAGCUAGUUGGUAGGGUAAUGGCCUACCAAGGCGACGAUCGGUAGCCGGCCUGAGAGGGUGAUCGGCCACACUGGAACUGAGACACGGUCCAG
This 233-nucleotide ribosomal RNA is filed under the name uncultured bacterium. Its description in RNAcentral is "partial 16S ribosomal RNA". It matches the Rfam family "Bacterial small subunit ribosomal RNA", at positions 96 to 334 of the family's 1533-position model. The record is from RNAcentral.